Molecule: small nucleolar RNA, 119 nt
Filed under: Castor canadensis (American beaver)
Lineage: Eukaryota; Metazoa; Chordata; Mammalia; Rodentia; Castoridae
Description: Small nucleolar RNA SNORA40 (ENSCCNG00000028732.1)
Rfam family: Small nucleolar RNA SNORA40
About the family: The snoRNA ACA 40 belongs to the H/ACA family of snoRNAs and guides the pseudouridylation of 28S rRNA subunit at position U4565. NB This family has a high threshold value to exclude a large number of closely related sequences that do not appear to have conserved H and ACA boxes, and may be pseudogenes.
Source: Rfam by way of RNAcentral
AGAAGUUGUGUGUUUUUAACAUGUGGAUGAAGAUUCAGAGACAAAUGCAAAUAAAAUUCUCUUUUACAACCCAGAACUAUUGUUCAGUAUGAGUUUUAAUACAUAUAGGAAGGAAUAUU